RNAcentral lists this ribosomal RNA (447 nucleotides) under uncultured bacterium. Its description in RNAcentral is "bacterial SSU rRNA". It matches the Rfam family "Bacterial small subunit ribosomal RNA", at positions 355 to 825 of the family's 1533-position model. The record is from RNAcentral.
UCGGGAAUUUUGGGCAAUGGGCGAAAGCCUGACCCAGCAACGCCGCGUGAAGGAUGAAGUAUUUCGGUAUGUAAACUUCGAAAGAAUAGGAAGAAUAAAUGACGGUACUAUUUAUAAGGUCCGGCUAACUACGUGCCAGCAGCCGCGGUAAUACGUAGGGACCAAGCGUUGUUCGGAUUUACUGGGCGUAAAGGGCGCGUAGGCGGCAAUUCAAGUCAUCUGUGAAAUCUCCGGGCUUAACUCGGAACGGUCAGAUGAUACUGCUUUGCUAGAGUGCAGAAGGGGCAAUCGGAAUUCUUGGUGUAGAGGUGAAAUUCGUAGAUAUCGGGAGGAACACCAGUGGCGAAGGCGGCGAUCUGGGAAGAUACUGACGCUGAGGUGCGAAAGCGUGGGGAGCAAACAGGAUUAGAUACCCACGUAGUCCCUGAGCGGGCUGGCAAGGCGCAU